This 4645-nucleotide long non-coding RNA is filed under the name Gossypium barbadense (sea-island cotton). RNAcentral describes it as "long non-coding RNA (GBAR_LNC008312)". Lineage: Eukaryota; Viridiplantae; Streptophyta; Magnoliopsida; Malvales; Malvaceae. The record is from RNAcentral.
AAAAUAAAUAAUAAAAAUUAGAUUAAAUAUAAAUAUAAAUAAAAUACAACAAGUCCAAACAUAGCAUCUUGUUUGCGAACCUAAACAACACUGAAAAUGCAAAGGUCUUUUAUAAAAGACAAAUUGCUAAGUUUUGAACUAGGAAUUCUAAUACCUUGGAGGACAAUGCAAAGUUUAAACUUCAUAAACUACACUCUCAUUAAGACAAGAUGCCAAUGAAUCUACAAACAGAGGGGAAAAAUAUUAUAGAUUUGAAUAGUCUGAAAGUGCCUAAAGGAUUUUUGUACACUACUCCAGUCUAUUAAUGCAGAAGUCAUUGAAAAGGCUGUGCAUAAUAUGUACCUACAACAUACAAAAUAAUGUAACGUGAAACCCAAAUCCGUUAACUACAAAAUUACAGGAAAAGAGAGAACAACUUAAUAUUUCGGUUAAUUUGGUUUUUUUCUUUUUUCUUUUUUUAACGAAACAAAAUUAACCUUCAACAUUUUUCAAUGGAUAAUUCUACAUAUACAACCAAAAUAUCAAAACAAAUCAAAAUCUAGAAGCACCAUACAAUGAAGAUAUUAAUCACCAUCAGAUGUUAAAUUAACACAUACUAAAAGUUCAAAACAAAUAAAUGAAGGUAUAAAACUUAACAGGACUAAUCCUAACUAAUAACCAAAAUAGCAUUCAAAUAUCAAAUUUUCUUAAAAUCUCUUCUGUUAACCAAACUGAAUUUUUUAUGGUUAACCAAACAACCGAAUUUGGUCAGUUAAUUUAGCACAAAUGGUCAUCUGGUCUUUAAUCCCAGGUUUACAUCAUAGAGUUUCAUGCAUAUUUAUUCACAUGUUACAACAUUCACAUCGACUAUCAUAUUUGUAAUUCAUUUACCUCAUCAAAUAUCUAAUAAAACACACCUUCCGCCGUCUGUCAUUUGGCCACAAUAUAUAUAUACACAUCUCAUACAUAUCUCACAUUAGCCAUUUGGCUUUACCACAUAUCCAUCUCAUACACGUUUCGCAUUAGCCAUUUGGCUUUACCUCAUAUCCGUCUCAUACACAUUUCGCAUUAGCCAUUCGGCUUCGCCACAUAUAUACACUUCUACGUUCAUCACAUUGGCCAUUCUACCUUAUCACAUGUAUGCAUGUUCGUAUUCAUCACAUUGGCCAUUCGGCCUUAUCACAUAUUUGCAUGCUCACGUUCAUCACAUUGGCCAUUCGGCCUUAUCACACAUAUGCAUGUUCACGUUCAUCACAUUGGCCAUUCGACCUUAUCACAUAUGCAUGUUCACGUUCAUCACAUUGGCCAUUCGGCCUUAUCACAUAUGCAUGUUCACAUUCAUCUCAUACAAUCCUAAUCAAAAUAUAAUUUUUCAUGUAUUCACAUCACAAUUAUCCAAAUAUACUUCACAUACCACAUAUACUUUCACGUAUACACUUUGUCUUGGCUGAAUCCACGUCUAUCAUUCUCCAAUGAAUAAUUCAAUUUCAUGCCAUACUAUCAUUUCAUAUUCGAAUACUUAUAAACUUACAAUUUCACAAAUUUUAAUAUCAAAGAUCCAUCUAACACUCAUAUAUCAUUUUACAAUAUCACAAUUUAGAAUUCACGUAUGGGUUUAAUCAAUAGCUUGUGAGCAGCCAAAACAAGUUUCAUCCAUGUUUUCAACAUAACCACAAUUCUCUACAAGCAGUUUUUCCUGAGCAACAGUCGCUAAAUUAUUUGUAACUGGGACUACGAAAUUCCAAAUUAUGUGCCGUUAAUUUUCCAUGAAAAUAGACUCGUAUAUCCUCUAUCCACAAAAUUUUCAAAAUUUUUGGUUUGGCCAAUAAAUACUAGAUUUUUCUUAAAAUUUCCCCUGUUUUACUGUUUGACUAAUCUGACCACUCUUCACUACAAAUCAAAUAUCUCAUUGUACAGAAUUCAAAAUGUGUUCUAUUUGAUUUCAUUUGAAACUAGACUCAUUAAGGAGUCUAAGCAUAUAAAUUUUAUCUUAUAACCAUUUCUGUACAAAUUAUAAUGAUUUUCUAAAAACAGAACAGGGGAUUUCGGAGUCGUUCCGACACUGUCUCACACAACUUUAAAUAUCUCUUUAUAGGAAAUUUCUUUGCUCACACAGUCUCUUUUACAAGAAACUAGACUAAUUAAGAUUUGAUUACAUAUUUUAUUCAGCCUAUAAUUCCACACCAACAAUUUAUGGUGAUUUUCUAAAACCACGUUACUGCUGCUGUCCUAAGCAAAUUAUUACAAUUUGCUCUUAAAUUUCCAAGUCCAAACACUUAUAAACUUACCAUUUGAGUUUAAAACAUAUCAUGACCACAUCAUAUCUUAUUAAAUCGACUCAUUAUGUCCUAUUAUGAUUGAAUUUACUCAACAUUUAAUCACUUAAAACUUACCUCGGAAGUGGUCGACGACUAGAUAUCCACGGCUAUUUGUUUACUUUCUCUUUUCCCCCAUCCGACUUUGAUCCUCUUUGCUCUUAAGCUUAAGUAAAACAAUAGAUUUGCUUAAGUACUUAACCAAUAUUAUUCACUUAACUAUCACAUUGGGCAAUCACAUAUCAUUUAAUCUAUAUCUAAAACAAUAGAUUUCAAUAUGUAUCAUAUUCGAUAAAACAUACCAUGACUCGAUUUCAUGCUUAUUUAAUUUAGCUAAUUUCAUAGCCGAUUAAUCACCUUACCCCAACAUUACUCAAUGCCGAAUAUUAACCCAACAUCACAAGCAUAAUCACCAUGAAACUUACCUUGAUACACAUUUUAUCCCAUUGCCGAAUACAUAUAUAUAUCACCAAACAAAUUUUUAUUCACAUCUCUAUAAUUGAUCAUAAUCGGACAUUAUAAACAAAUCAACUAGUUUAGCAUUCAAAUUCUUCUAAUCAUUCCUCAAUCACUUACUCAAUGAACAAUAAUCCAAGCACAUCAAAGCAUAGUCGAAUGUAUCAUUCUUCUUAAAUUCAUAUUCGAACACUCAAUUAAAUACUUACAAUUUAGCACUAAUUUGGCAUUUCAACAUAGCCAAUUGUCAUUAAGCAAUUAAGCCACAAAUAUUCAAUUUUACCAAGCUCAACUCAUCUAUAAUCAACCCUCAAUACACCUAAGCAUCAAAAACAACAUCAAAGAAAUACAAACAUCCAUGACCGAAUGUCAUCUUCAUAAAUUUACAAAAAUAUUUGCCAUGAGUUAGCUUCUAUACUUGAUGACCACUCCAAAUAUACAAAGACUUUCAAUGAAAGAGCAUUAACAUACCUCUUCCUAAACAUCAACCAACCCAUCAUGAAGCAAGAAAAUCCUCUUCUUCUUCCUUCCUCAAGUCACGGCAAUAGGGGGAGCAAGGAUGAGACAACUUUGUUUUCAUCACCCCUCCCUUUUUAUUACUUUAUUACUAACCUUUUAUUUUAUUAUUUCUAACAUAAAUCACUAACACAAAAAUGUUUAUAAUAGGCUUUAACCCAUAGCAUGGCCGGCCACUACUUGUCAUAGGUGGAAAUUUGACAUGCAAGCCCAUUAUUUUCAUAACAUGCACUAAUAGGUCCUUAUAGAUUAACCUAUCACCUUUUAAAAGUGCCACACAUAAGUCCUAUUAAUUAAAUUCACAUACAAUCGACUAAAUCGAAGCUUAAAACUUUCACACAUUUAUAUUCACAUAUUUUAGACAAUAAAUAUCAUAUUCAAAUACUUCGGUGACUCGGUUUAGCGGUCCCGAAACCACUUUCCGACUAGGGUCAAUUUGGGGCUGUCACAAACCCACUGAAAAAUUAAGGAAGCAGUGGUUUGAAAACUAAAAUAGAGACGAAAAAGGCAAAGACAAACUUGUUCUAAAGCUGAAAACCCUAAAAAAACCCACUGAAAUAGAAGUAGAUAAGAAUAGAUCAGAAAACUAAAAAAAGACAUGAAAAAGAAAAGACAAAGUUGUAGGAGUGACUCUCAGUUGCUCUUACGAAAAUUCUCUUCCUACUGUCCUGCGUGCGUGUUUUUGGCCUAUAGUGAAAAUUUUUGCUUCUAAUUGAUUGAUUCAAAUAUAUAUAUAAAUCAUAAUUAAUAUAAAAAUACAUAUAAAUUGUUAUGUUUAAUAUUUUAAUAUUUUUAUUAAAAAUAACAAUUUAACACUCAAUUUAACACUAAUUUGAAAAAAAUGUAAAUAUUAAAUGUCAAAUUUAUUAUUACCUAUAUAUUUUUAAUGCAAAUUUAUAAAUAAUUUUAUUGUUAGAAAAUUAAUAAAAUUUAUAUCUAAAAAUAUAAAAGAGAAAAUAACCUCAAAUUUUGAAUUUUAAAGAGAAAUGAAUAUUUAAAAUUAUUAUUUUUAAUUUUUAAUUUGAACUGAUAUUAUUUAAUUGAUUAAAUUGCAUCAAGCCUGCUUAUGGUGGAUCUGAUUUUUGAGCUUUGAAAUUAUAUUUAUUAGUUAAAUAAAGUUGAAACUAAUUCAAUAAAUUUUUCCUGCAAAAAGUUAUAACUUCUGUGGUUAAUUCUUUUAAAGUGGAAAUUCAAAGCACAUUAUACACUCUACACGAUUCAUGUUAUUUCCUCGCAUACCAGAUGCAGAAGAUGAAAACCCUGCAACAGGAUGACCUCUAUUUUCUCUCUUUUGUGCAGGUUCAUUAACCGUUAAUAUAUUGAUUCCCAAUGCAUUGAAGGAAAAAUUACUUUAUAUGGUAACCUUAAAGAUUAACUAU